CAGUAGCCGCGGGAAUACAGAGGGUGCAAGCGUUAAUCGGAAUUACUGGGCGUAAAGCGCGCGUAGGUGGUUUGUUAAGUUGGAUGUGAAAGCCCCGGGCUCAACCUGGAAACUGCAUCCAAAACUGGCAAGCUAGAGUACGGUAGAGGGUGGUGGAAUUUCCUGUGUAGCGGUGAAAUGCGUAGAUAUAGGAAGGAACACCAGUGGCGAAGGCGACCACCUGGACUGAUACUGACACUGAGGUGCGAAAGCGUGGGGAGCAAACAGGAUUAGAUACCCCGGUAGUCCCUGUCUCUUAUAC
RNAcentral lists this ribosomal RNA (301 nucleotides) under uncultured bacterium. RNAcentral describes it as "partial 16S ribosomal RNA". It matches the Rfam family "Bacterial small subunit ribosomal RNA", at positions 509 to 807 of the family's 1533-position model. The record is from RNAcentral.